AUUGAACGCUGGCGGCAUGCUUUACACAUGCAAGUCGAACGGUAACAGGUUAAGCUGACGAGUGGCGAACGGGUGAGUAAUGCAUCGGAACGUGCCCGAUCGUGGGGGAUAACGCAGCGAAAGCUGCGCUAAUACCGCAUACGAUCUGAGGAUGAAAGCGGGGGACCGUAAGGCCUCGCGCGAUCGGAGCGGCCGAUGUCAGAUUAGGUAGUUGGUGGGGUAAAGGCCCACCAAGCCGACGAUCUGUAGCUGGUCUGAGAGGACGACCAGCCAGACUGGGACUGAGCAACGGCCCAGACUCCUACGGGAGGCAGCAGUGGGGAAUUUUGGACAGUGGGCGAAAGCCUGAGCCAGCAAUGCCGCGUGCAGGAAGAAGGCCUUCGGGUUGUAAACUGCUUUUGUGCGGAGCGAAAAGGUCCUUUCUAAUACAAGGGGCUCAUGACGGUACCGUAAGAAUAAGCACCGGCUAACUACGUGCCAGCCGCCGCCGUAA
RNAcentral lists this ribosomal RNA (493 nucleotides) under uncultured bacterium. RNAcentral describes it as "partial 16S ribosomal RNA". It matches the Rfam family "Bacterial small subunit ribosomal RNA", at positions 29 to 523 of the family's 1533-position model. The record is from RNAcentral.